GGUUAUGCGCUGCUUCUGAUGGUAGUAAUGAUAGCAUCUACUGAGGGAUGCUAGAAAAUUUUUGAAUUAACUGAAGGAUUCCAGGAAGGCACACCUACUGAUGGGUGAUGGGAGGUAUUGCACUUACUGACAAGUGCCAAACAGGUUUGGGUCAGGCUCGUGACGUUAAACAAGCGCUACUAGGAGGCAACCUAGAAUUUCUUCUUACACUUUUUGCAUUUUAAAUUCUUAGAAUAGGUUGAACUUAAAUUUUGGUGUGUACUCUU
Molecule: long non-coding RNA, 266 nt
Filed under: Vigna radiata
Lineage: Eukaryota; Viridiplantae; Streptophyta; Magnoliopsida; Fabales; Fabaceae
Description: long non-coding RNA (VRAD_LNC014903)
Source: RNAcentral